AUGUUGCUUCCCUCCCAUUCCACUAGAUGGGUAAAUUUAGUUACACUAAAAUGACUUGAUGAUAAUGACCAACAUGUAUCACAAACUUGCCAUCAAAUGUUAUGUGAGCCUCCAUAUCAUGUACGUAUGCUGCAAGAAAGCUAGGUCCAGGUAUACAUAUGGUGUCUAUAUGACAUAGCUACAUGAACUUGAUGCGUACUUGAGGAAGCGACAACCUUACUGAAUUAUCAUGUUCAGGUGCUACGAGUGGAGUGGAGCAGAAGUUCAAAAAGGUAUUUAUGCUGCAACAAUGUUUCAUGCCAAGUGGACUACUGGCCAAUGACAUUUAGUAUGCUAACAGACUUUUCAAGAUAAAGGGCUUGCUUUGUUGCUCAUGCUGUCACAUGUUAGAUGAAAGGGUUCAAGGAUGUAUUAUGCUUCUACUUGAGCAAUUGCGAACGCGGGAAGCGAUGUCUCACUAAAUUUUCACGUUUGAGGUGCUACCAAGGAAGCAAAUGUCUAACCAGAUUUUUUUGCAUAGAUUGAAAAGUUGAACUUAGUUAUCAAGGAGCUCGUUAAGGAAACUGAUGAAGAA
RNAcentral lists this long non-coding RNA (574 nucleotides) under Helianthus annuus (common sunflower). The record is from RNAcentral. Lineage: Eukaryota; Viridiplantae; Streptophyta; Magnoliopsida; Asterales; Asteraceae.